CCAUAGGUUAAUGAGGCGAACCGGGGGAACUGAAACAUCUAAGUACCCCGAGGAAAAGAAAUCAACCGAGAUUCCCCCAGUAGCGGCGAGCGAACGGGGAGGAGCCCAGAGCCUGAAUCAGUGUGUGUGUUAGUGGAAGCGUCUGGAAAGGCGCGCGAUACAGGGUGACAGCCCCGUACACAAAAAUGCACAUACUGUGAGCUCGAUGAGUAGGGCGGGACACGUGGUAUCCUGUCUGAAUAUGGGGGGACCAUCCUCCAAGGCUAAAUACUCCUGACUGACCGAUAGUGAACCAGUACCGUGAGGGAAAGGCGAAAAGAACCCCGGCGAGGGGAGUGAAAAAGAACCUGAAACCGUGUACGUACAAGCAGUGGGAGCCUCUUAAUGGGGUGACUGCGUACCUUUUGUAUAAUGGGUCAGCGACUUAUAUUCUGUAGCAAGGUUAACCGAAUAGGGGAGCCGAAGGGAAACCGAGUCUUAACUGGGCGUUAAGUUGCAGGGUAUAGACCCGAAACCCGGUGAUCUAGCCAUGGGCAGGUUGAAGGUUGGGUAACACUAACUGGAGGACCGAACCGACUAAUGUUGAAAAAUUAGCGGAUGACUUGUGGCUGGGGGUGAAAGGCCAAUCAAACCGGGAGAUAGCUGGUUCUCCCCGAAAGCUAUUUAGGUAGCGCCUCGUGAAUUCAUCUCCGGGGGUAGAGCACUGUUUCGGCAAGGGGGUCAUCCCGACUUACCAACCCGAUGCAAACUGCGAAUACCGGAGAAUGUUAUCACGGGAGACACACGGCGGGUGCUAACGUCCGUCGUGAAGAGGGAAACAACCCAGACCGCCAGCUAAGGUCCCAAAGUCAUGGUUAAGUGGGAAACGAUGUGGGAAGGCCCAGACAGCCAGGAUGUUGGCUUAGAAGCAGCCAUCAUUUAAAGAAAGCGUAAUAGCUCACUGGUCGAGUCGGCCUGCGCGGAAGAUGUAACGGGGCUAAACCAUGCACCGAAGCUGCGGCAGCGACACUAUGUGUUGUUGGGUAGGGGAGCGUUCUGUAAGCCUGUGAAGGUGUACUGUGAGGUAUGCUGGAGGUAUCAGAAGUGCGAAUGCUGACAUAAGUAACGAUAAAGCGGGUGAAAAGCCCGCUCGCCGGAAGACCAAGGGUUCCUGUCCAACGUUAAUCGGGGCAGGGUGAGUCGACCCCUAAGGCGAGGCCGAAAGGCGUAGUCGAUGGGAAACAGGUUAAUAUUCCUGUACUUGGUGUUACUGCGAAGGGGGGACGGAGAAGGCUAUGUUGGCCGGGCGACGGUUGUCCCGGUUUAAGCGUGUAGGCUGGUUUUCCAGGCAAAUCCGGAAAAUCAAGGCUGAGGCGUGAUGACGAGGCACUACGGUGCUGAAGCGACAAAUGCCCUGCUUCCAGGAAAAGCCUCUAAGCAUCAGGUAACAUCAAAUCGUACCCCAAACCGACACAGGUGGUCAGGUAGAGAAUACCAAGGCGCUUGAGAGAACUCGGGUGAAGGAACUAGGCAAAAUGGUGCCGUAACUUCGGGAGAAGGCACGCUGAUAUGUAGGUGAAGCGACUUGCUCGUGGAGCUGAAAUCAGUCGAAGAUACCAGCUGGCUGCAACUGUUUAUUAAAAACACAGCACUGUGCAAACACGAAAGUGGACGUAUACGGUGUGACGCCUGCCCGGUGCCGGAAGGUUAAUUGAUGGGGUUAGCGGUAACGCGAAGCUCUUGAUCGAAGCCCCGGUAAACGGCGGCCGUAACUAUAACGGUCCUAAGGUAGCGAAAUUCCUUGUCGGGUAAGUUCCGACCUGCACGAAUGGCGUAAUGAUGGCCAGGCUGUCUCCACCCGAGACUCAGUGAAAUUGAACUCGCUGUGAAGAUGCAGUGUACCCGCGGCAAGACGGAAAGACCCCGUGAACCUUUACUAUAGCUUGACACUGAACAUUGAGCCUUGAUGUGUAGGAUAGGUGGGAGGCUUUGAAGUGUGGACGCCAGUCUGCAUGGAGCCGACCUUGAAAUACCACCCUUUAAUGUUUGAUGUUCUAACGUGGGCCCCUUACCGGGGUUGCGGACAGUGUCUGGUGGGUAGUUUGACUGGGGCGGUCUCCUCCUAAAGAGUAACGGAGGAGCACGAAGGUUGGCUAAUCCUGGUCGGACAUCAGGAGGUUAGUGCAAUGGCAUAAGCCAGCUUGACUGCGAGCGUGACGGCGCGAGCAGGUGCGAAAGCAGGUCAUAGUGAUCCGGUGGUUCUGAAUGGAAGGGCCAUCGCUCAACGGAUAAAAGGUACUCCGGGGAUAACAGGCUGAUACCGCCCAAGAGUUCAUAUCGACGGCGGUGUUUGGCACCUCGAUGUCGGCUCAUCACAUCCUGGGGCUGAAGUAGGUCCCAAGGGUAUGGCUGUUCGCCAUUUAAAGUGGUACGCGAGCUGGGUUUAGAACGUCGUGAGACAGUUCGGUCCCUAUCUGCCGUGGGCGCUGGAGAACUGAGGGGGGCUGCUCCUAGUACGAGAGGACCGGAGUGGACGCAUCACUGGUGUUCGGGUUGUCAUGCCAAUGGCACUGCCCGGUAGCUAAAUGCGGAAGAGAUAAGUGCUGAAAGCAUCUAAGCACGAAACUUGCCCCGAGAUGAGUUCUCCCUGACUCCUUGAGAGUCCUGAAGGAACGUUGAAGACGACGACGUUGAUAGGCCGGGUGUGUAAGCGCAGCGAUGCGUUGAGCUAACCGGUACUAAUGAACCGUGAGGCUUAACCUU
This 2742-nucleotide ribosomal RNA is filed under the name Escherichia coli. RNAcentral's name for it is "partial 23S ribosomal RNA". It matches the Rfam family "Bacterial large subunit ribosomal RNA". The record is from RNAcentral. Lineage: Bacteria; Pseudomonadati; Pseudomonadota; Gammaproteobacteria; Enterobacterales; Enterobacteriaceae.